Molecule: transfer RNA, 84 nt
Filed under: Ornithobacterium rhinotracheale
Lineage: Bacteria; Pseudomonadati; Bacteroidota; Flavobacteriia; Flavobacteriales; Weeksellaceae
Also listed under: 3 other names
Description: tRNA-Leu
Rfam family: tRNA
About the family: Transfer RNA (tRNA) molecules are approximately 80 nucleotides in length. Their secondary structure includes four short double-helical elements and three loops (D, anti-codon, and T loops).
Source: RNAcentral
GCUCACGUGGUGGAAUUGGUAGACACGCCAUCUUGAGGGGGUGGUGCCAGUAUUGGUGUGCUGGUUCGAAUCCAGUCGUGAGCA